Non-coding RNA from Sphaerodactylus townsendi, 77 nucleotides. Lineage: Eukaryota; Metazoa; Chordata; Lepidosauria; Squamata; Sphaerodactylidae. The record is from the annotation of a RefSeq genome assembly.
GGAGAGGCACUGUGGCUCAGUGGCAGAGCAUCUGCCCCUUUUGCAGAAGGCCCCAGGUUCAAGCCCUGGCAUCUCCA